GUUGACAUUACUUAGACGUUUGAGUAGUUGUACAAUUUAUUUUGUAUAUGUGAUGUAUAUAAAGUGUAUAUAGUAUAGGAGUAUUGGUUUGUGGUGCUGAUGUGGGCUGUGAUGUUGAACUGAUAUGGGCUGUGAUGUUGAACUGAUGUGGGCUGUGAUGUUGAAUAUGAGCCCAGUCAUUUUCUGAGCCCAAAUACUCACC
RNAcentral lists this long non-coding RNA (202 nucleotides) under Nicotiana benthamiana. RNAcentral's name for it is "long non-coding RNA (NBEN_LNC024515)". Lineage: Eukaryota; Viridiplantae; Streptophyta; Magnoliopsida; Solanales; Solanaceae. The record is from RNAcentral.